GAUGAACGCUGGCGGCGUGCCUAAUACAUGCAAGUCGAGCGAACGGACGAGAAGCUUGCUUCUCUGAUGUUAGCGGCGGACGGGUGAGUAACACGUGGAUAACCUACCUAUAAGACUGGGAUAACUUCGGGAAACCGGAGCUAGUACCGGAUAAUAUUUUGAACCGCAUGGUUCAAAAGUGAAAGACGGUCUUGCUGUCACUUAUAGAUGGAUCCGCGCUGCAUUAGCUAGUUGGUAAGGUAACGGCUUACCAAGGCAACGAUGCAUAGCCGACCUGAGAGGGUGAUCGGCCACACUGGAACUGAGACACGGUCCAGACUCCUACGGGAGGCAGCAGUAGGGAAUCUUCCGCAAUGGGCGAAAGCCUGACGGAGCAACGCCGCGUGAGUGAUGAAGGUCUUCGGAUCGUAAAACUCUGUUAUUAGGGAAGAACAUAUGUGUAAGUAACUGUGCACAUCUUGACGGUACCUAAUCAGAAAACCACGGCUAACUACGU
This 496-nucleotide ribosomal RNA is filed under the name uncultured bacterium. RNAcentral's name for it is "partial 16S ribosomal RNA". It matches the Rfam family "Bacterial small subunit ribosomal RNA", at positions 28 to 506 of the family's 1533-position model. The record is from RNAcentral.